Non-coding RNA from Parelaphostrongylus tenuis, 77 nucleotides. The record is from the annotation of a GenBank genome assembly. NCBI's taxonomy places the organism in Eukaryota, Metazoa, Nematoda, Chromadorea, Rhabditida, Metastrongylidae.
GGAUAGCUCAGUCAGCAGAGCAGAGGACUGUAGAGUUGCAGCUAUCCUUCGGUCGCUGGUUCCAUUCCGGCUCGACG